RNAcentral lists this ribosomal RNA (496 nucleotides) under uncultured bacterium. Its description in RNAcentral is "partial 16S ribosomal RNA". It matches the Rfam family "Bacterial small subunit ribosomal RNA", at positions 28 to 506 of the family's 1533-position model. The record is from RNAcentral.
GAUGAACGCUGGCGGCGUGCCUAAUACAUGCAAGUCGAGCGAACAGACGUGGAGCUUGCUCCUCUGACGUUAGCGGCGGACGGGUGAGUAACACGUGGAUAACCUACCUAUAAGACUGGGAUAACUUCGGGAAACCGGAGCUAAUACCGGAUAAUAUAUUGAACCGCAUGGUUCAAUAGUGAAAGACGGUUUUGCUGUCACUUAUAGAUGGAUCCGCGCCGCAUUAGCUAGUUGGUAAGGUAACGGCUUACCAAGGCGACGAUGCGUAGCCGACCUGAGAGGGUGAUCGGCCACACUGGAACUGAGACACGGUCCAGACUCCUACGGGAGGCAGCAGUAGGGAAUCUUCCGCAAUGGGCGAAAGCCUGACGGAGCAACGCCGCGUGAGUGAUGAAGGGCUUCGGAUCGUAAAACUCUGUUAUUAGGGAAGAACAAAUGUGUAAGUAACGAUGCACGUCUGGACGGUACCUAAGCAGAAAGCCACGGCUAACUACGU